UCCCUGACAAUCCAGUGGUUAAGAUUUUGCCUUCCACUGCAAGGGGUACAGGUUCAAUUCCUGUCCAGGGAG
RNAcentral lists this transfer RNA (72 nucleotides) under Ovis aries (sheep). It matches the Rfam family "tRNA". From Rfam's summary of the family: Transfer RNA (tRNA) molecules are approximately 80 nucleotides in length. Their secondary structure includes four short double-helical elements and three loops (D, anti-codon, and T loops). Lineage: Eukaryota; Metazoa; Chordata; Mammalia; Artiodactyla; Bovidae. The record is from Rfam by way of RNAcentral.